GGAAUCGCUAGUAAUCGCGGAUCAGCAUGCCGCGGUGAAUACGUUCCCGGGCCUUGUACACACCGCCCGUCACACCAUGAGAGUCGGGAACACCCGAAGUCCGUAGCCUAACCGCAAGGAGGGCGCGGCCGAAGGUGGGUUCGAUAAUUGGGGUGAAGUCGUAACAAGGUAGCCGUAUCGGAAGGUGCGGCUGGAUCACCUCCUUUCUAAGGAGA
RNAcentral lists this ribosomal RNA (215 nucleotides) under Pseudoflavonifractor sp. An44. RNAcentral's name for it is "partial 16S ribosomal RNA". It matches the Rfam family "Bacterial small subunit ribosomal RNA", at positions 1328 to 1533 of the family's 1533-position model. Lineage: Bacteria; Bacillati; Bacillota; Clostridia; Eubacteriales; Oscillospiraceae. The record is from RNAcentral.